CCCUUAGACGUUCUGGGCCGCACGCGCGCUACACUGACUAGUGCAACAAGCAUCCGUCCUUGGCCGACAGGCUCGGGCAAUCUUUGAACGCUGGUCGUGAUGGGGAUAGACUUUUGCAAUUUUUGGUCUUCAACGAGGAAUUCCUAGUAAACGCAAGUCAUCAACUUGCAUUGAUUACGUCCCUGCCCUUUGUACACACCGCCCGUCGCACCUACCGAUUGAAUGGUCCGGUGAAGCCUCCGGAUUGGCGCGCACCUCGGUGCCGCCGAGAAGUUGGCUAAACCUUACCAUUUAGAGGAAGGUGAAGUCGUAACA
Molecule: ribosomal RNA, 315 nt
Filed under: uncultured eukaryote
Lineage: Eukaryota
Description: partial 18S ribosomal RNA
Rfam family: Eukaryotic small subunit ribosomal RNA
Source: RNAcentral